GACGAACGCUGGCGGCGUGCUUAACACAUGCAAGUCGAACGGAAAGGCCUGCUUUCCCUUGUGGAUUGCGGGUACUCGAGUGGCGAACGGGUGAGUAACACGUGAGUGAUCUGCCCCCAACUUGGGUAUAAGCCUGGGAAACUGGGUCUAAUUCCCGAUAGGACUGCAGGGUGGUGCCUGUGGUGGAAAACGAUUUUCUAGUGGUUGGGGAUGAGCUUGCGGCCUAUCAGCUUGUUGGUGGGGUAAUGGCCUACCAAGGCGGCGACGGGUAGCCGGCCUGGGAGGGUGGACGGCCACAUUGGGACUGAGAUACGGCCCAGACUCCUACGGGAGGCAGCAGUGGGGAAUAUUGCACAAUGGGCGGAAGCCUGAUGCAGCGACGCCGCGUGGGGGAUGACGGCCUUCGGGUUGUAAACUCCUUUCGACCGCGAGGAAGCCACCUGGUUGGAAGGGUGGUGACGGUAGUGGUAGAAGAAGCACCGGCUAACUACGUG
Molecule: ribosomal RNA, 494 nt
Filed under: uncultured bacterium
Lineage: Bacteria
Description: partial 16S ribosomal RNA
Rfam family: Bacterial small subunit ribosomal RNA
Source: RNAcentral